UUAUGAUCCCGAUCCAACUACUCAAAACGCAACCCGGGCGCUUUCACCUCAGAGUAUCCCGUCUCGUCUCUUCCGAUCCUCACCGGCAACUGCGGCGCUUAAACCCUAAUCCCUAGGUCUAUGAGGUUUCGUACAUCUUGAUCAGGGUGACUUGAGAUCCUUGUUUGAUAAAUUGCACCGGCUGAACAGUUGGUUGGUCUUUUGGUUACCUGACCCAUCCUGCAGUAUGCCUGCAAUCAAAAGAUUAUAUGAUGCCUGUAAAAUGUCGUUCUCUGAUAAUGGACCCAUAUCUGCCGAAGCUCUUGAACAUGUGCGGUCUGUUUUAGAUGAUAUUAAACCUUCUGAUGUGGGACUUGAACAUGAGGCUCAGAUAGCACGAGGAUGGAAAGUUUCCAUGCAUGGUACAAAUGGGAGAAAAGGGCGUAAUGGGAGUAACCAAUAUCCACCUCCUAUCAAAUAUCUACAUAUACAUGAGUGUGAAAGCUUUUCUAUUGGGAUAUUUUGCAUGCCACCUUCAUCGGUUAUUCCACUUCAUAACCAUCCAGGAAUGACUGUGCUGAGCAAGCUUCUAUAUGGGACAAUGCUUGUCAAAUCAUAUGACUGGAUUGAUACAGAAGAACCCAUCGAUCCAUCCAAAGCUAGACCAGCAAAGCUUGUUAGAGAUGAUCAAAUGACUGCACCUUGUGGGACAACAAUCCUUUAUCCUACAAGUGGUGGCAACAUUCAUUCUUUCAAGGCAAUAACUCCUUGUGCUCUCUUCGAUGUUCUAUCACCCCCAUACUCAUCAAAAGAUGGGCGACAUUGCUCUUAUUUCAAGAAGUCAAGAAAAGAUUCAUCCGGUGUUUUGCCUAGUGGAAUAAAGGCUUCAGAUGUGAUUUGGUUGGAAGAGUGUCAACCACCGGAAAGUUUUAUCGUCAGAAGAGGGCCGUACAAGGGCCAGAUCGUCAAUAGUUGAUGAUAUCAGUCCACUGUAAUAUAAUUCAGAGUGGCUCCUUUAGCAGGGGGAGGGAAGCAUUGGCUGUGGAUCUCUUUAGUUGCUGUCAUAUGAUUUUUUUCUGAAGCUUUUUUUUUUCCCAAAAUAAUGACUCCUAAUGUAUAUUGUAGUCAGGAAGCUUGUUGUACAUCACUAGAUAUCUGGUAUAAUUUUUCUUGUUCAAAAUGCAUGAAGCACAAAAGGUGAUACGUAUGGUUUUAUCUGCUGAUCAUCCCUAGUAUUUUGAUCAGGAUCUCAAAUCUCUGUGACAAUGCAGCGGAUCUUAGCUACAUUGUGAUGGAUUGUUGACGGAACACAAUUAACAUCUGCAAGCAGCUUCCGUGGAGUUUUUUCUCUUGAAGAAAUGACAAGCCUUCUGCUUUGCCUUUCUGACCUAUAUAUAGGUCAUGUGGUUAAUGGCAUGAAAUAGUAACUUAUCCGUUAUUGUGUUGGUAUAUAUUUAUCCGUUAUUCUUUUCCA
RNA transcript from Musa acuminata AAA Group (dessert banana), 1453 nucleotides. It is a transcript of the gene named plant cysteine oxidase 4-like, with no coding region annotated. Lineage: Eukaryota; Viridiplantae; Streptophyta; Magnoliopsida; Zingiberales; Musaceae. The record is from RefSeq and is a predicted model, not a curated record. The transcript is spliced from 7 exons.